RNAcentral lists this long non-coding RNA (431 nucleotides) under Ictidomys tridecemlineatus (thirteen-lined ground squirrel). RNAcentral describes it as "lncRNA (ENSSTOG00000031635.1)". Lineage: Eukaryota; Metazoa; Chordata; Mammalia; Rodentia; Sciuridae. The record is from RNAcentral.
CCCACCCUGACCGUCUCCCCCAGCUGGCUCUCUGACCACGGCUGCAGGGCUCUGCUGGCCAAGCAACUCUGUGUCCUGGGUGCUCAGGCCCCUGCCUGUUAGAAACCCCUUCUCUGUUCCCACCCUGGGACCUGGGAUCUGGGAGGUGGGCUGUUGGAAGUGAUCAUGAAGCAAAUGUUCCAUUUGAUCCAAGAGUUGGAGCUGACAUCUUGCUGCGGGAGCCUAGAAGCAUCUGGUGUGAAGGACAUGCAGUCCUCUCCUGGCCCAGAAUCAUGAUGGUGACCCACUAUGAGGAGAUGCAAGUGUACAGAUGAGCAAGACAGGAGCAGUUCUCAUGGCUGAAUUUCAAAUAAAAUGAAAAGAAAAGAGCUUUUGAGGACACUCAAGCCCUUCAGUGUGCCUCCGCCGCUGGCCGUGACAGAGCCUGACUC